RNAcentral lists this ribosomal RNA (1433 nucleotides) under uncultured prokaryote. RNAcentral's name for it is "partial 16S ribosomal RNA". It matches the Rfam family "Bacterial small subunit ribosomal RNA". The record is from RNAcentral.
UAAUACAUGCAAGUCGAACGCGAAAGUACCUUCGGGUGCGAGUAGAGUGGCGAAAGGGCGAGGAAUACGUUUCUAACGUACCCACAGGUGAGGGAUAGCAUCGGGAAGCUGGUGGUAAUACCUCAUAAUCCUGGUUGAUCGGAUGUUCAACCAGGCAAAAGCUCCGGCGCCUCGGGAGCGGCGAUCGUCCUAUCAGGUUGUUGGUGAGGUAACGGCUCACCAAGCCGAAGACGGGUAGCGGGUGUGAGAGCAUGACCCGCCGCAUCGGGACUGAGACACUGCCCGGACUCCUACGGGAGGCUGCAGCGACGAAUCUUCCGCAAUGGGCGCAAGCCUGACGGAGCAAUGCCGCGUGCAGGAUGAAGCAGCUUCGCUGUGUAAACUUGCUGUCAGGUUCUAGAAUCAAUGAUCAGAACCAGAGGAAGGGCCGGCUAAACUCGUGCCAGCAGCCGCGGUAAUACGAGUGGCCCGAGCGUUAAUCGGAAUCACUGGGCUUAAAGGGUGCGCAGGCGGAUCGGAAGGCAUCUCGUGAAAGCCCCCGGCUCAACCGGGGAACUGCGGGGUGAACCGCCGAUCUUGAGACAGGUAGGGGUCAGUGGAACCAUCGGUGGAGCGGUGAAAUGCGUAGAGAUCGAUGGGAACGCCAAUGGCGAAGGCAGCUGACUGGGCCUGUUCUGACGCUCAGGCACGAAAGCGUGGGGAGCAAACAGGAUUAGAUACCCUGGUAGUCCACGCCGUAAACGAUGUGCACUAGAUCGCAGGGGCUCUGACGCCAGCUUGGACGAAGCGAAAGUGUUAAGUGCGCCGCCUGGGGAGUACGGCCGCAAGGCUAAAACUCAAAGGAAUUGACGGGGGCUCACACAAGCGGUGGAGCAUGUGGCUUAAUUCGAGGCAACGCGAAGAACCUUAUCCUGGGUUUGACAUGUACGGAUUAACUCCGAGAAACCGGAGCGACGCUCUUUUGGUGAAACGUGCACAGGUGCUGCAUGGCUGUCGUCAGCUCGUGCUGUGAAGUGUCGGGUUAAGUCCCUUAACGAGCGAAACCCCUGUCGUUAGUUGCUAACACGUAAUGGUGAGGACUCUAGCGAGACUGCCGGUGUCAAACCGGAGGAAGGUGGGGAUGACGUCAAGUCCUCAUGGCCUUUAUGCCCAGGGCUGCACACGUGCUACAAUGCGGCGUACAAAGCGAAGCGAGACCGUAAGGUGGAGCAAAUCGCAAAAAACGCCGCCCAGUUCGGAUUGUGGUCUGCAACUCGACCACAUGAAGUUGGAAUCGCUAGUAAUCGCGUAUCAGCUACGACGCGGUGAAUACGUUCCUGAGCCUUGUACACACCGCCCGUCAAGUCAUGGGAGCCGGUAGUACCCGAAGCCGCCCUAAUUCAGGGGUGUCGACGGUCAACUCGGUAACUGGGACUAAGUCGUAACAAGGUAAC